CGUGUAGGCGGUCCGCUAAGACAGGUGUGAAAUUCCUGGGCUCAACCCAGGACGUGCGCCUGUGACUGACGGACUUGAGUCCGGGAGAGGAUGGUGGAACUCCCAGUGUAGAGGUGAAAUUCGUAGAUAUUGGGAAGAACACCCGUGGCGAAGGCGGCCAUCUGGACCGGUACUGACGCUAAGGCGCGACAGCGUGGGGAGCAAACA
RNAcentral lists this ribosomal RNA (207 nucleotides) under uncultured bacterium. RNAcentral describes it as "partial 16S ribosomal RNA". It matches the Rfam family "Bacterial small subunit ribosomal RNA", at positions 568 to 774 of the family's 1533-position model. The record is from RNAcentral.